This 256-nucleotide ribosomal RNA is filed under the name uncultured bacterium. RNAcentral describes it as "partial 16S ribosomal RNA". It matches the Rfam family "Bacterial small subunit ribosomal RNA", at positions 524 to 776 of the family's 1533-position model. The record is from RNAcentral.
UACGUAGGGUGCAAGCGUUGUCCGGAAUUAUUGGGCGUAAAGAGCUCGUAGGCGGUCUGUCGCGUCUGCUGUGAAAACUCAGGGCUUAACCCUGAGCUUGCAGUGGGUACGGGCAGACUAGAGUGCGGUAGGGGAGACUGGAAUUCCUGGUGUAGCGGUGAAAUGCGCAGAUAUCAGGAAGAACACCGAUGGCGAAGGCAGGUCUCUGGGCCACUACUGACGCUGGAGAAGCGGAAAAGCAUGGGGAGCGAACAGG